Molecule: long non-coding RNA, 649 nt
Filed under: Callithrix jacchus (white-tufted-ear marmoset)
Lineage: Eukaryota; Metazoa; Chordata; Mammalia; Primates; Cebidae
Description: lncRNA (ENSCJAG00000068749.2)
Source: RNAcentral
AAUCAAUGGGGACGAUGAAGCUAGCAGGAAAAGAACUCCUUUUUCUCAGUCCCUACAAUGGAUUUGACUACAGAUAAUGGUAGGGCAGAAAUCACUAAGCAACACCCAUUUAAAAACAGAAAAAUUUAAAAAUCCCGUCCAAUAAACAUUUUUUGGGGUCAUUUCCAAAAAAAGAUAAUUGCCACUUUGUUCUUUUUUUCUUUACAUGGCAAGAUACCAGCCAGGACCCAGGAUGGCGGUACCCAGCUAGGCUUUGCGAAUGUCAGAUGCUUUGUAUGAGACCAGUUGCAUUCUCUGAACCAACUCCUGCCACUGAAGAAUCCAGAGAUGUAAAGAUCCAGAAUCUUGGAAGCUCUCCACCUGCCUCAUCACAGGCAAACCAGGUAUUGCUAACUUGCCUUUGAACAAACAUAGUAAAUUUUCUUGGAGUCUAGGAGUACCAGACAUUUGAAAAUUAUUUUUUAAGUUACUUAAAAAUUGAUCAUUUAAUGCAACCAGAUGCCAUUUUGCUUUAAAAUAAUGUUUUUUAUUUUUUUCUUUUAUUCUUUUUUUUUUUUGUUAAUCAAUGAGAGCUUGUUAUGUUGCUCAGGUUGGCCUUGAACUCAUGGCCUCGCCUCCUCAAGCACCAGGAAAAUUGGCCGGAGCCACC